UGGGGAAUCCUGGACAAUGGGCGAAAGCCUGAUCCAGCGACGCCGCGUGGGUGAUGAAGGCCUUCGGGUUGUAAAGCCCUGUUGAGGGGAAAGAAAACGUUGGGCGCGAAUAGCUCCUGACCUUGACGGUACCCCUCCAGAAAGCACCGGCUAACUCUGUGCCAGCAGCCGCGGUAAGACAGAGGGUGCAAACGUUGCUCGGAAUUACUGGGCGUAAAGCGCGUGUAGGCGGGCCAACAAGUCAGAUGUGAAAUCCCUGGGCUCAACCCAGGAACUGCAUUUGAAACUGUUGGCCUUGAGUGGUGGAGAGGGAAGCGGAAUUCCUGGUGUAGAGGUGAAAUUCGUAGAUAUCAGGAGGAACACCGGUGGCGAAGGCGACUUCCUGGACACCAACUGACGCUGAGACGCGAAAGCGUGGGGAGCAAACAG
RNAcentral lists this ribosomal RNA (429 nucleotides) under uncultured bacterium. RNAcentral describes it as "bacterial SSU rRNA". It matches the Rfam family "Bacterial small subunit ribosomal RNA", at positions 355 to 775 of the family's 1533-position model. The record is from RNAcentral.